Long non-coding RNA from Macadamia integrifolia, 1376 nucleotides. RefSeq lists it as uncharacterized. NCBI's taxonomy places the organism in Eukaryota, Viridiplantae, Streptophyta, Magnoliopsida, Proteales, Proteaceae. The transcript is spliced from 2 exons. The record is from RefSeq and is a predicted model, not a curated record.
UCUCGAUGACUCUGAGGAUUUUGUCAUGGCAACCUUGUUCUGGACAAACUUCGGACCCUUCUUCUGCUUGCUUCAAGGAUAUGGCUAGAACUUUAUUUCCAUCUGCAGUGUUAAGCGAUGUGAUGCACAGUCACACUAUUAUGUUCGGUUCCCUCCCACCUCCGGGCUCCUCUGAAGAAUCACCUCCCUUGGUUCUGGGCACGGUGCAAGGCAUUGCUCCCCAAGUCCCUUCAUCUUAGGUGUUUCACAAUUCGGAUCUACCUGAGGCAAAGAUUGAUCACCCAGUUACGGUCACUAUUCAUCAGCACUUUUACUCUACUGGGAAAGAAUCAUCCGCCAAUCGAGUGAUGAAGAACUCUUCUGACAAAGAUUCUUCUCUUGCUUCCUUGGGGCGUAAGACUACUGACAAGCUGCUUGAUAUGGACCCUUGAUCCGUCUACUGGGGCCAAGCUAUGGUUCUACAAGAAGCCGAAGUUUGAUGAUUCGUUGGCUGCUUCAUCUGUGCUGGAACUCACCGUCAUCAAGAACCUUAUCACUGAUUAUUUCUCUUUUUCUGCAUGCCUAGUGUCUCUUCUCUCUGCUCUCAAACUUUGGAUUGCUGAGAUGUCUUCUUCCCUGGAGUCCCUUCCUUUUGCCCUAGUUGAUACAUUGGUCAAUCGAGCUAAUGAAGGUUUUGACUCCACAUGUGAUAUGGGGGAUACUCCUAUGCCAGACUGGGAGAAAUGUCAUUUCUUUAGCAUGGUGACCAUCGUGACUUAUCUUAUCUGGGCCCACAGAAAUGAUGUGGUGGUUCGACAUUUAAAUCCGAAUCCAACCACACUUGUACUGCAUAUUUCCCGAUGGCUUGCUAAGCUUCAAUUAAGCAUGGAUACUAAAUUAUCCAAUCUUUCUUCCUCUGUUACAAAUCAUUCAGAGAUCAUCUUGAGCAGGGAUUUCUCUCUACCCAUUUUGCCUUCUUAUAUAUUAGUAUGUCUUGGCUUUACUAAGUCCUUGAGAUCAAACUCUUUUUGGAUAUGUGGUGUUCUCUUGCAAGGUAGAUUUUCAGCAUCUUGCCCAACGACCCUCCCUAUUUUCUUCUUUGAAGGAAAUAGAAGUUGAAGGAAUUUUGCAUGGCUUGAAGUUGGCGAAGGAAAAGGGUUGGACCAUCUCUAAAGUUCUGUUAUCUUCCAAGGCAUUACUUCAGCUUAUUCCGACGCCCUCUGACCGCAGCUGGCCUCUCUACAGUAUUGGUGCAUUUUGAGACCUUUAUAAGACUUUUGGGCAUCUUAAGUUUCUGUAUAAAUGUUGGGAUUCUAACGUUCCUAUGUUAUAUUUACAAACCUUAUGUAACCGAGACAGGAGAGUGAGUAGUACUCUUUCUGUGUAAUGGUUUUUUU